UACGUAGGGAGCAAGCGUUGUCCGGAAUCAUUGGGCGUAAAGCGCGCGUAGGCGGCCUCAUAAGUCCGUUGUGAAAGUCAAAGGCUCAACCUUUGAAAGCCGAUGGAUACUGUGAGGCUAGAGUCCGGAAGAGGCGAGUGGAAUUCCUGGUGUAGCGGUGGAAUGCGCACAUAUCAGGAGGAACACCAAUAGCGAAGGCAGCUCGCUGGGACGGUACUGACGCUAAGGCGCGAAAGCGUGGGGAGCGAACAGG
RNAcentral lists this ribosomal RNA (253 nucleotides) under uncultured bacterium. RNAcentral describes it as "partial 16S ribosomal RNA". It matches the Rfam family "Bacterial small subunit ribosomal RNA", at positions 524 to 776 of the family's 1533-position model. The record is from RNAcentral.